Molecule: long non-coding RNA, 374 nt
Organism: Ornithodoros turicata
Lineage: Eukaryota; Metazoa; Arthropoda; Arachnida; Ixodida; Argasidae
Exons: 4
Source: RefSeq, a predicted model, not a curated record
GCUAGUGCUAGUAUGCCGCAGGAAAGCGCGUCUACAUAUCAAGUUAGCACUACGAAAGAACCGUGGCUAAGAGGGGCUUCGAGGCUUGAACAGGAGAAGACGGCGCAAGGUCUAUUUCUUUUUCGUUCGACUGUUGCCACGAGAGGUGUACAGACAUGGACACAUGGAGAGAGGACAGCAGGAAGGCGUGGAAGAUAAUGGAAUUCGGCGUGGACCAUGAGGCUACAUUCCAACCCUCCUCUCUAUCGGCUCCGUUAGACGUGGAGGAUUUGAACACGACAACUGUUCCAUGGAAGUUCCAAGAAUAGUUUUACGCGCGGCUAGGUAGUUCCACACAAGUAAGUUGCACACAGGUACGUAGUUCCAAAUAAGUA